This 2289-nucleotide long non-coding RNA is filed under the name Sorghum bicolor (sorghum). RNAcentral describes it as "long non-coding RNA (SBIC_LNC005969)". The stretch from base 317 to 425 matches the Rfam family "MIR5565 microRNA precursor family". Lineage: Eukaryota; Viridiplantae; Streptophyta; Magnoliopsida; Poales; Poaceae. The record is from RNAcentral.
CUGAGGCAAUAUAGAUCAAUUCAACUAACAGGUACUCAAGUUAAUAAAAAAACAUAUCAAUGCAAGUUCUGAAUUUUACCUACCUUGUAUCCUCUUUUUGGGAGGAAAAAAUGGCCUACCACUGUACCACACAUGCUCAUUCUAUCAAAUGUUAAUGUUCCAGCUAGGGAAACAAGCAAGCGUCUUCCUUCCUUUCUCACCCUAUUCAACAAAGAGGAACUGCUUCUGUAAUAUCAUACACACUUGUCCAGGUGACAGUCAUCUACAAUGAUACUAAUUCAUUCACAUUCCCAAACCUAUAAGGCCUCGUUUAGAUGUAGUCGGAUUCGCAUUAAUCCACAUGUAUUGGUGUGGGUUGAAAUGGAACUUGAACUAAAUUCCACCCCAAUCCACUCCAACACAUGUGGAUUGAGGUAAAUCCGACAACAUCCAAACAAGACCUAAAUACAUAUGCUAGUAUUUUCUUUCUCUCAAAACCUAUAAGUAUGGAUGCUAAUAUUUUCUCUCUCAAACCUAUAAAUACAGUUUUUCCAAAAAAAAAACCUAUAAAUACAUAUGCUAGUAUCUUCUUUCUCUUAUCGUCAUCACCCAGAGAAUUAAUAGAUAUGUAACAUUAUGUCAUCACUUUCUAUAGUCAUUUGAUGUUUUUUCACGGACAUAUUUGUUAGUAAUAACGUCUUGUUUAGUUGCCAAAAAAUUUUGCAAAAUUUUUCAGAUUCUCCGUCACAUCGAAUCUUUAGACGUAUGCAUGAAGUAUUAAAUAUAGACAAAAAUAAAAACUAAUUACACAGUUUGGUCAGAACUGACGAGACGAAUCUUUUGAGACUAGUUAGUACAUGAUUGGACAAUAUUUAUCAAAUACAAACGAAAUUGGUACUAUUCAUACUAGUAUAUUGCCCGUGCUAACGCUACGGUGACUUUUAGAAAAAAAUUAUAAAACUAAAAUAAAUUAUAAAACUAAAAAAUAAACUUACCACACUAACAAAAAAGUCUAUACGAAAAUUACGUUACUUCAUUUAGGAACAUAUAUUUGGUUUUAACAAAUGCUAUGUAGAAAAGUUGAGAAAUACAGCUGAUCUACAAAUGCCCAUCAUUUGUCUUGUAAUCUUGGUAAGAAAUCCAUAAAAAUGAGAUACUUGAUUAUAGUUACUGUAGGCGUAUACCUGCGUUACUGAACAAAUAAGCUAGAAAAAAAUAAAAUUAUAGAGAUCGAUUAAAGGAAUAAUAAAAUAAAAAAUGCCUGACAAAAUCAGGUACCUAUCUUCAGUCUAUCAUACAAUGCCAAGAAGACAAGCAAACAUUAAAUUAUACGCUAAAGAGAAAUUAAAAUACUCCUAUUCAGAAGUUUCAGAUGGUCUAGAUCAUUGUACAAAACUGCUCCAGAUAGAAGAAUAUAUAGAUAGAAUUUAUUUAUUCUCCCAUCACGAAUUAAGGGUGCAUAUAAAGUUGGCAUUCUAGUGUGUAACAUUAUAUUCUCUCCAUUUUUAGCCGGUGCUCACGCUAGUAGAACUAUCUGCCAAGUUCAUCAAAGUUCUAAGAAAUUUUCAGUGUUGAAUACUGGACCAGGAGCAAAACCACAAGUUAAGGCCUGAAUAUUGAAGACUAAAUUAGCACCAACUUUUGUAAUUAAGGAACAAACCAUAUCAAAACUUAGCAAUCACCAGAUAGAAUAUUUUACUACAAGCAAUUUGUAUAAUUGUAUUGCACAAAUACUCAAACUGAGACCAUUCCAACUGACAAUCUGGUGAAUUAUACUAAAAAAAGUUAAUGAGCCUCAUCUAUUCUCAUAUCAAACUGGUUCUACUAUUCAAGUGAAAUAACAUACUACAUGAACAAUCUCAUACAAAUACUAAAGCCAUUGACAGGAUAUUACUUCUUUACUAAUCUGAAGCAGGAACUAUGGAAGAUAAAAUAGAUGAAACAAUCAAAUGCAACAUGAAAAAAAAUCAAGAAUCUUCUCAAGUUGACAUGAGAUUCGCUUGCUAUGCCACCAUGGUCAAGAAAGCAGCAGCCACCUCCUUUACUACUAUGAUAUGCAGAUUUGUUUGGCAAUCAUUAGUUUUAGCAAGUCGCUAUUUUAUUUGGCAAGUCAAAAAAAAAUCUCCCUCUAACAAUUUAUAGUAUUCUAACUUGCUAAAAUCACCAUAAGCGUGUUUUUUUGACUACUUGUAAAGUGAACACAAAACUUUCUCAUAAUUAAUCAAACCAUCAGAAAAUUCUUCUCUCUAGCAGUUUUACAAAGUAAACACGGUAAAAAGUUUCUAUUUGCAUAGAUGUCUUUCUCUCCGU